AGACGUAGAUAGGCAGGGUGUGUAAGCGCGGUGACGCGUUGAGCUAACCUGUACUAAUGACCCGUGCGGCUUAACCAU
This 78-nucleotide ribosomal RNA is filed under the name Zobellella iuensis. Its description in RNAcentral is "Zobellella sp. CGMCC 1.18722 partial 23S ribosomal RNA". It matches the Rfam family "Bacterial large subunit ribosomal RNA", at positions 2848 to 2925 of the family's 2925-position model. The record is from RNAcentral. Lineage: Bacteria; Pseudomonadati; Pseudomonadota; Gammaproteobacteria; Aeromonadales; Aeromonadaceae.